GAUGAACGCUGGCGGCGUGCCUAAUACAUGCAAGUCGAGCGAACAGACGAGGAGCUUGCUCCUCUGACGUUAGCGGCGGACGGGUGAGUAACACGUGGAUAACCUACCUAUAAGACUGGGAUAACUUCGGGAAACCGGAGCUAAUACCGGAUAAUAUAUUGAACCGCAUGGUUCAAUAGUGAAAGACGGUUUUGCUGUCACUUAUAGAUGGAUCCGCGCCGCAUUAGCUAGUUGGUAAGGUAACGGCUUACCAAGGCAACGAUGCGUAGCCGACCUGAGAGGGUGAUCCGCCACACUGGAACUGAGACACGGUCCAGACUCCUACGGGAGGCAGCAGUAGGGAAUCUUCCGCAAUGGGCGAAAGCUUGACGGAGCAACGCCGCGUGAGUGAUGAAGGUCUUCGGAUCGUAAAACUCUGUUAUUAGGGAAGAACAAAUGUGUAAGUAACUAUGCACGUCUUGACGGUACCUAAUCAGAAAGCCACGGCUAACUACGUG
This 497-nucleotide ribosomal RNA is filed under the name uncultured bacterium. RNAcentral describes it as "partial 16S ribosomal RNA". It matches the Rfam family "Bacterial small subunit ribosomal RNA", at positions 28 to 507 of the family's 1533-position model. The record is from RNAcentral.